CCUACGGGAGGCAGCAGUGAGGAAUAUUGGUCAAUGGGCGGGAGCCUGAACCAGCCAAGUCGCGUGAGGGAAGACGGUCCUAUGGAUUGUAAACCUCUUUUAUAAAGGAAUAAAGUGAGGCACGUGUGCCUUUUUGUAUGUACUUUAUGAAUAAGGAUCGGCUAACUCCGUGCCAGCAGCCGCGGUAAUACGGAGGAUCCGAGCGUUAUCCGGAUUUAUUGGGUUUAAAGGGAGCGUAGAUGGGUUGUUAAGUCAGUUGUGAAAGUUUGCGGCUCAACCGUAAAAUUGCAAUUGAUACUGGCAGCCUUGAGUACAGUUGAGGUAGGCGGAAUUCGUGGUGUAGCGGUGAAAUGCUUAGAUAUCACGAAGAACUCCGAUUGCGAAGGCAGCUUACUAAACUGCCACUGACAUUGAUGCUCGAAAGUGUGGGUAUCAAACAGGAUUAGAUACCCGAGUAGUC
This 460-nucleotide ribosomal RNA is filed under the name uncultured bacterium. Its description in RNAcentral is "partial 16S ribosomal RNA". It matches the Rfam family "Bacterial small subunit ribosomal RNA", at positions 338 to 795 of the family's 1533-position model. The record is from RNAcentral.